RNAcentral lists this ribosomal RNA (441 nucleotides) under uncultured Clostridium sp. RNAcentral describes it as "bacterial SSU rRNA". It matches the Rfam family "Bacterial small subunit ribosomal RNA", at positions 338 to 795 of the family's 1533-position model. Lineage: Bacteria; Bacillati; Bacillota; Clostridia; Eubacteriales; Clostridiaceae. The record is from RNAcentral.
CCUACGGGAGGCAGCAGUGGGGAAUAUUGCGCAAUGGGGGGAACCCUGACGCAGCAACGCCGCGUGAAGGAUGAAGGCCUUCGGGUUGUAAACUUCUUUGAUUGGGGAAGAAAUUUGACGGUACCCAAAGAACAAGCCACGGCUAACUACGUGCCAGCAGCCGCGGUAAUACGUAGGUGGCGAGCGUUGUCCGGAAUUACUGGGUGUAAAGGGCGUGUAGGCGGGGAUGCAAGUCAGAUGUGAAAUUCCGGGGCUCAACCCCGGCACUGCAUCUGAAACUGUGUCUCUUGAGUGCUGGAGAGGAAAGUGGAAUUCCUAGUGUAGCGGUGAAAUGCGUAGAGAUUAGGAGGAACACCAGUGGCGAAGGCGACUUUCUGGACAGUAACUGACGCUGAGGCGCGAGAGCGUGGGGAGCAAACAGGAUUAGAUACCCUAGUAGUC